CCCGCCAUAUAUUGCUGUCAUGUCCAUCACAUUCCUGAUAUGUAACCAGUCGAUGCCUAGUCCAGUGAGGUAAGACUUGUUAACCAUAGCUUUCCAGUGAUCUGUAUCUCCAACAGCUUUCUCUUUGCUGGUUAACCACUCAGGGUAUGUUUCAAGUCUCUUUGGCCAUUCUUCAGGCCACUCUGCUCCGUGUUGUUCUAUAGCUGACGGUAUCUCAUAUAAACAGGUUUUCAUCGGCACAUACCUAAGCCAAAAGCUCAAAACUCAUCAACAAGUUCAUUGAAAGAAAGAUAAAAGCUAUAUAUCAACAAUUGCUGUUACUUACCAAGCUGCGUCUGGGUUCUCGUUUUCCUUGCAAAGAGGUGGAUUCUUCCUCCUUCUCAGUUCAUAGAUAUCAUUUGAUUCUGGUUUCUGAUAUAUUCUUACUCCCAUUUCACUUGCUUCUUCGGUUUUGUGUGCAAGAAUGUUCCAACAAAUAGAAGCUGUCAAUGCAGUCAUCGCUGCCCACCACGGAUGAACUUUGUUACAAGUAGAACUAAUUACAAUAAAAAUACUAAAAGAACAAGUAGAGUUUCAACUAGGCCUGAAAUUUUUAACCGAACCACCGAAAUUUUUGGUUAGUUCGGUUGGAUUCGGGUAGGUUUUCUAAAAAAAAUCGUUUUUUGGUUUGGCAAUCGGUUACAUUGCGUUUCUUCUUUUUUUAAAAAAAAAAAAGAAUACCCAAACCAUAUCAAAAAUCCGAACUGAACUAACUAAAUUUCUAAGCAAAUUAACGGAAUUUAACCAAAUUUAUCUGAAAUUUUAACAAAACUGAACCAAAAUCAAAAACUUCGGUAGGAUUUUUGAAAACCGAACUAACGAAUACUGAACCAAAUUUUAUUUUGGGUUAAUUCGGUAAGAUUUAUGUUGAACCGAACUAACCAAAAACCGAAUAACCCAAACCCGCAUGCCUAAAACCAC
Molecule: long non-coding RNA, 960 nt
Filed under: Brassica rapa (field mustard)
Lineage: Eukaryota; Viridiplantae; Streptophyta; Magnoliopsida; Brassicales; Brassicaceae
Description: long non-coding RNA (BRAP_LNC004174)
Source: RNAcentral